CACAAAAAGACAGUCUCAGUUCAGAUUGUAGGCUGAAACUCGCCUAUAUGAAGUCGGAAUUGCUAGUAAUCGCAGAUCAGCAUGCUGCGGUGAAUACGUUCCCGGGCCUUGUACACACCGCCCGUCACACCAUGAGAGUCGAUAACACCCGAAGCCUGUAGUCUAACCAUAAGGAGGACGCAGUCGAAGGUGGGAUUGAUAAUUAGGGUGAAGUCGUAACAAGGUAUC
This 228-nucleotide ribosomal RNA is filed under the name uncultured bacterium. Its description in RNAcentral is "partial 16S ribosomal RNA". It matches the Rfam family "Bacterial small subunit ribosomal RNA", at positions 1273 to 1500 of the family's 1533-position model. The record is from RNAcentral.